CGCCCAGAUAGCUCAGCUGGUAGAGCAGAGGACUGAAAAUCCUCGUGUCG
RNAcentral lists this transfer RNA (50 nucleotides) under Geobacter sulfurreducens. RNAcentral describes it as "tRNA-Phe". It matches the Rfam family "tRNA", at positions 1 to 47 of the family's 71-position model. Rfam says of the family: Transfer RNA (tRNA) molecules are approximately 80 nucleotides in length. Their secondary structure includes four short double-helical elements and three loops (D, anti-codon, and T loops). The record is from RNAcentral. Lineage: Bacteria; Pseudomonadati; Thermodesulfobacteriota; Desulfuromonadia; Geobacterales; Geobacteraceae.